This 497-nucleotide ribosomal RNA is filed under the name uncultured bacterium. Its description in RNAcentral is "partial 16S ribosomal RNA". It matches the Rfam family "Bacterial small subunit ribosomal RNA", at positions 28 to 507 of the family's 1533-position model. The record is from RNAcentral.
GAUGAACGCUGGCGGCGUGCCUAAUACAUGCAAGUCGAGCGAACAGAUGAGGAGCUUGCUCCUCUGACGUUAGCGGCGGACGGGUGAGUAACACGUGGAUAACGUACCUAUAAGACUGGGAUAACUUCGGGAAACCGGAGCUAAUACCGGAUAAUAUAUUGAACCGCAUGGUUCAAUAGUGAAAGACGGUUUUGCUGUCACUUAUAGAUGGAUCCGCGCCGCAUUAGCUAGUUGGUAAGGUAACGGCUUACCAAGGCAACGAUGCGUAGCCGACCUGAGAGGGUGAUCGGCCACACUGGAACUGAGACACGGUCCAGACUCCUACGGGAGGCAGCAGUAGGGAAUCUUCCGCAAUGGGCGAAAGCUUGACGGAGCAACGCCGCGUGAGUGAUGAAGGUCUUCGGAUCGUAAAACUCUGUUAUUAGGGAAGAACAAAUGUGUAAGUAACUAUGCACGUCUUGACGGUACCUAAUCAGAAAGCCACGGCUAACUACGUG